Long non-coding RNA from Sander lucioperca (pikeperch), 160 nucleotides. RefSeq lists it as uncharacterized. The transcript has 4 exons. The record is from RefSeq and is a predicted model, not a curated record. NCBI's taxonomy places the organism in Eukaryota, Metazoa, Chordata, Actinopteri, Perciformes, Percidae.
UCUGGUUUUACUUCCUGUCUUGUGUUUUCCCGCCUUUUUUGAUUGUUCUGCCCAGCCCUAAUGUGUUUCACCUGUUUCCCAGCCCUAGUGUCACCUGUUGCUUGUUUCCUCAUUUACUCUGUGUAUUUAGUCUCUGUUUUUGAACUGCAUUUGAGUGCAA